This is an RNA transcript of Eucalyptus grandis, 261 nucleotides long. RefSeq lists it as uncharacterized. The transcript is spliced from 2 exons. The record is from RefSeq and is a predicted model, not a curated record. Lineage: Eukaryota; Viridiplantae; Streptophyta; Magnoliopsida; Myrtales; Myrtaceae.
AUUCUAGAGAGAGCUGAGAAUUAUGAAGGCUUCCAAAGCAGUCAUCUCCUUUUUUUUGUUAACUCUCCUGUUGUUCUCCGACGUGUCUCGAGCUGCUCGGCCGGCGCCGGUUGGAGCCGAUUUGGCAAGAACUCGACCCGAGGGUGUUGAUGGGGAAGUAGAGAAGGUAGAGGUGGAGCGGGGCUGCGAAGGGAUUGGAGAAGAGGAGUGCUUGAUGAGAAGAACCCUCGAAGCUCACCUUGAUUACAUCUACACUCAGAA